ACCAGGCAGAGCGCGUGUGGCCGCCGAGCACAUGGACCCACUGGUCAAGCGGGCUCGGCAAGGCCAGGAUGAAGAGAAGCUACGAACUUAGCAUUCCCAGAGCCCCCCGAGUGGAUAUCCGCGUGGAAAGGAUGUUGGCAGCCCCGGUGACCUCGGAGUCACGGCUGGAUCCACCCUCUUGUCUGAUUUUCUUAACUCUACUACGGUAAGAAGAUGCCCUCCAUCAGCAGGCCGUGUCUGCUGGGACCUCUCUGGAGACUUCCUGAACCCUGUGGAUUUACAGUAAGAUGCAGUUUCCUGGGGAGUAAUUCUGGUGGAUACAAAUUCCGGAGUAUUACACCUGGCUUGCCUGGAGAUGUUACAAGUAGCUGGAUGGAUUCUUCAGCCUGGAUGCCCACUGAAAACAAGGACCGAAACUAAGAGGAUUGUAUCUCUACCCUUGACUCAAUGAGAAUGUUUGUUGUCAUCUCUCGGGCUACCUGGAGCUCCCUCUAAAAUAGAGCCGAGUUCUGUCACCACAGACAUUGGCAGUGGCACUUGCAUGCCCCUGGCAAGCAGUCUAUCCUGAGGUGGAGGAAGUUGCCCUUGAGUUCUGGCUGGUAACCAGCACAGUAUACCCUUUAAGCGUUCCAGAAGGAUUUUGAGAUCCUUUCCUAAAUCAAAGGUGGAAUAUUUGGGGAUUUGGAAAAUUGAGUGUCUUCAGCCAAGGGAUGAGAACAGCGCAUGCUGCUGCUGCUGAUUCUGUGUGCUCAGGGCCCUUCUGUGGAGGAGCAGGAGAAUAGGUGGACUGGAAGCAGCUGGCUCACUUUGCAGGAUGUUGGAACCCCCAGACUGCUGUAGAUAUGGAAAGAAGACACUGAGUGGUGGGGAAGGCAUGGGGAGAUGCUCUGAGGUUCGGAAUGAGUCCCCAGUAUGCAGCCGACUGGUGGUUGGGAUGCCAAGUGUUGGGGAGAAAAGGGUUAAUCUCGAGCAGCUAGAAACCCGAGUUGCUACUUAGAAUCGGAGAGGAGAGUUUGGCUGUUUAUUUUGUUCAUCUUUCAAGUAAGGGGUGGAAUUCUUAUGUCUGAAACUCUAGUGAGAGGGUCCAAUGGAAAUGAAUAUUUGUGCAGAG
RNAcentral lists this long non-coding RNA (1111 nucleotides) under Mus musculus (house mouse). RNAcentral's name for it is "Pvt1 oncogene". The stretch from base 24 to 180 matches the Rfam family "Pvt1 oncogene conserved region 1". The record is from RNAcentral. Lineage: Eukaryota; Metazoa; Chordata; Mammalia; Rodentia; Muridae.